Molecule: unclassified non-coding RNA, 913 nt
Filed under: Hevea brasiliensis (rubber tree)
Lineage: Eukaryota; Viridiplantae; Streptophyta; Magnoliopsida; Malpighiales; Euphorbiaceae
Source: RNAcentral
GCAAAACAAAGAGAUAACACAUAUUCAAACUCGUGAUACUGCAGUUCAAAUUGUUAUCGAAGAUAACUAUACAAAACUUGCUUCCCAGUAAGCGAUUUCCAAAGCAAAGAGGUAACUUAGAAGUUAGAUAUACAUACAAACAAACAUACACUAAGAACAAGCCAGUAACACAAACAUAUAUAUAUACGAGAAUGUCAAAGAUACAUACUAGAAUCAAUUACGCUUUCUUCUGUUGUGUGGAUGAUCAAGAACCAGCAAAUUGUCCAGAUAACGAGAGCCAACAAAUUCCUUCAUCAUGAAAACUCGUAGAACAUCUUCAGGUGUUUGAUGAGCAAAUGAAUCAACCUGAGCUUUAUUUUCAGAACUUAACUGCAGUUCUCUGUUUUCCAGCAUCUCUGCCCCAUUGAGCAAUCCCAGAGGACCAGUACUAGUGGCAACCUUACUCGAAUUGCUAGUUAUUUCCUUGUUGCAUGAUGCGUUCUGAUUAUUUUUAGACUCGACUUCCAUUUCCCGAACUGUUUGAGAGUAAAUUUGGGAGACUGCUUUUCCACCAGGAAGGAAGAUCUUGGCUGAUUCUUUGAUUGCAUAAACAGAAGCAUUUUUGGCGAAUUUUGUACUGAAACUGACGAUUUUAGCCCUGCCUUCUUCAUCAGGCAUGUAACUGUACUGACCCAGCUUCUGCACGCCGCUAACUCGAACGACGUUGUCGAUCAUUUUAACGGCGGUCGCACUGUAAUAAUAGGUACCUUUGCAUACCUUCGUCACCGGAGUUGCUAGAUCCGGUGUGUUCCGUUUCACCGAUUCUGCGCCGGAGCUUAUGAAGUCCCAAAUUCCCAUUUUUGCCCUUUUGCUUAAAUCGGGAACUAGGAGAACUCGAAAAAUGCUAGUACACUGGGAAGUGCAACCAAACUUA